CUCCACCUCUCAGGCUGAGGUUCAUUGUUUCACUAUUUAUUUUAAUUUUUUUAUAAGGAAAAUAUAACUUGAAAUUUUGAUAUUUCUUAAAUUUGAUGUUAUAGACGGAAAUGCAAACGGAGUGGAGAAAUCAAAACACACAAGCAACCAUUUGGCCAUUGGAAAAUCAAUACAAAGCUAUAGAAGGAAAAAAAAAAAAAAAAAACAAUAUACGAUAACAGAAUUUCCUAGGCCUACAAAAAUAAGAGGCGAGCUAUACACCCGGGAAAAUU
Long non-coding RNA from Juglans microcarpa x Juglans regia, 272 nucleotides. RefSeq lists it as uncharacterized. The transcript is spliced from 2 exons. NCBI's taxonomy places the organism in Eukaryota, Viridiplantae, Streptophyta, Magnoliopsida, Fagales, Juglandaceae. The record is from RefSeq and is a predicted model, not a curated record.